Molecule: ribosomal RNA, 528 nt
Filed under: Shigella flexneri
Lineage: Bacteria; Pseudomonadati; Pseudomonadota; Gammaproteobacteria; Enterobacterales; Enterobacteriaceae
Description: partial 23S ribosomal RNA
Rfam family: Bacterial large subunit ribosomal RNA
Source: RNAcentral
GUGAUCCGGUGGUUCUGAAUGGAAGGGCCAUCGCUCAACGGAUAAAAGGUACUCCGGGGAUAACAGGCUGAUACCGCCCAAGAGUUCAUAUCGACGGCGGUGUUUGGCACCUCGAUGUCGGCUCAUCACAUCCUGGGGCUGAAGUAGGUCCCAAGGGUAUGGCUGUUCGCCAUUUAAAGUGGUACGCGAGCUGGGUUUAGAACGUCGUGAGACAGUUCGGUCCCUAUCUGCCGUGGGCGCUGGAGAACUGAGGGGGGCUGCUCCUAGUACGAGAGGACCGGAGUGGACGCAUCACUGGUGUUCGGGUUGUCAUGCCAAUGGCACUGCCCGGUAGCUAAAUGCGGAAGAGAUAAGUGCUGAAAGCAUCUAAGCACGAAACUUGCCCCGAGAUGAGUUCUCCCUGACCCUUUAAGGGUCCUGAAGGAACGUUGAAGACGACGACGUUGAUAGGCCGGGUGUGUAAGCGCAGCGAUGCGUUGAGCUAACCGGUACUAAUGAACCGUGAGGCUUAACCUUACAACGCCGAAG